This 430-nucleotide transfer RNA is filed under the name uncultured Alphaproteobacteria bacterium. RNAcentral describes it as "partial 16S-23S ribosomal RNA intergenic spacer". The stretch from base 82 to 155 matches the Rfam family "tRNA". The record is from RNAcentral. Lineage: Bacteria; Pseudomonadati; Pseudomonadota; Alphaproteobacteria.
CCUCCUUUCUAGGGAGUAAUCCCGACACGUGUGUCGGGAUAUGGUCAAACUCAAAAGCGACCGCGCAUACCAAAUAUUUUUGGGCUUGUAGCUCAGUUGGUUAGAGCGCAUCUCUGAUAAGGAUGAGGUCCGUGGUUCGAAUCCACGCAGGCCCACGCUGAGUUGCUUCGAAUCUUAUGGGGCUAUAGCUCAGUUGGGAGAGCGCCUGGUUUGCAACCAGGAGGUCGUCGGUUCGAUCCCGGCUAGCUCCACAACAGAUUUUUGAAAGUUUUAUCUUUUUAAGAUAGACAUAGGGAGAGCGUCCCGAUUUUACAUCGGGAAGGUCGUCGGUUCGAUCCCGGCUAGCUCCACAACAGAUUUUUGAAAGUUUUAUCUUUUUAAGAUAGACAUAGGGAGAGCGUCCCGAUUUUACAUCGGGAAGGUCGUCGGU